RNAcentral lists this ribosomal RNA (432 nucleotides) under uncultured bacterium. RNAcentral's name for it is "bacterial SSU rRNA". It matches the Rfam family "Bacterial small subunit ribosomal RNA", at positions 335 to 761 of the family's 1533-position model. The record is from RNAcentral.
ACUCCUACGGGAGGCAGCAGUGGGGAAUAUUGCACAAUGGGCGCAAGCCUGAUGCAGCCAUGCCGCGUGUGUGAAGAAGGCCUUCGGUUGUAAAGCACUUUCAGUUGUGAGGAAGGUGGUGUCGUUAAUAGCGGCAUCAUUUGACGUUAGCAACAGAAGAAGCACCGGCUAACUCCGUGCCAGCAGCCGCGGUAAUACGGAGGGUGCGAGCGUUAAUCGGAAUUACUGGGCGUAAAGCGCAUGCAGGUGGUUUGUUAAGUCAGAUGUGAAAGCCCGGGGCUCAACCUCGGAACUGCAUUUGAAACUGGCAGACUAGAGUACUGUAGAGGGGGUAGAAUUUCAGGUGUAGCGGUGAAAUGCGUAGAGAUCUGAAGGAAUACCGGUGGCGAAGGCGGCCCCCUGGACAGAUACUGACACUCAGAUGCGAAAGCU